GCAGUCGAGAGGGCGAUGGUUCGUCAGAAUGAAGCGAUGGCUCGUCAGAAUGAAGCGAUGACUCGUCAGAAUGAAGCGAUGACUCGUCAAAUGACGUUUUUCCAACAGUACAACACAACAAUACUCGCUCAGAAUCCUAACUUGCGCUUACCAUAAUUUCCCCCAAUCUUCAACGACACUACAGCGCAACCCGCAGGAGGGUUCAACAUAAAUUCUUCUGGAGCGUCGACUUCUAGAGCACCGCAAGUACAACUGCAGGAAACUCCGCCUGUUCAACAAACAAUGCCACAAGAGGAGUACACUAUUUCACCACCGCGCGGAGGAAGACCGAUUAUCUUCUCACAAUUGGCAUUAUGAAAGACGGUCGCGUCUAAAAAAAAGAAGAAAAACACAAAAUAGAAAAUAGAAUAGUAAUUACCGAAUUUAAUAUAUGUCGUACUUUCAUUAUCGAACAUCAAUUUCAAUUUCAUUUCAUUAUUUAAAUAAAAUAAUUAUUUUUUUCAAAAAAUAAUUUUUUCACGGGGAAAUUUUUUUUUCUGCCGGAAAAUAUUGACCAGCGCCUUGGCCGUCAGGGAUUUUUUUUCCCAAUUUUACACUACCAACGGUCAGGCCGCUGGCAAAUUUUUACAAAAAAAUAUUUGCCGGUGGCUAAGCCGUCGGGAUAUAAUUUCAAAAAAAUAUGUGCAAGCGGUCAAGCCGCCGGUACUAUUUCCGUUAAAAUCGGAAUCCACAAUUUACUGCCGGCGGCCUGACUGCCGGUAUAUUACAAAACUGACGACGUUAGUUUCGGCGGUGGAAUACCGUCGGCUUGGCCGUCAGGACGCAUUUUAGGCUGCCGGCAUUUGCAGCCAGAAUAACGCUGGUUUUUUGUAGUGAAUUUUGUUUUAGAUAAUUAAAAAUAAGGUAAUUAUAUAGUAGUUAUAAUAAAUGUACUAUAAAAGCAAGUCAAUGAUAAUCAAUCAAAUAAUACUUCAUUCCAUCAAGUCUUAAUCACUAUGGUUCACAACGUCGAUCGCUCACUUGGAUAUCGAAUUUCAUUGAAAUUUUCAGCCAUCAACAAGUCGUUCCCGUCAGAGACGAGAUGCAAGGAUCUUAUUGUGGACCAUAGUGGUCUGCGCUUAGUCAUUGAUCGUUCGUCGUGUACCACAGUAAAAUUUAGAGAGUAACCUUCAGUGUUUGUUAAUCUUAAAUGGAUAUAUUGUCGCUCCCCUCUUCAUCCAGCCGACCCAGAUUGAUUCACAAGCAUCAUCCUCCGCAGUAAAACGUAAUAAAAUAUAUUUACGAAGAUAUUUUUGCAAAUGUUCCAAAAAAAGGGUUUGGUAUUUCAGAUCGCGUGGUUAAUCUUGUUAAAACUAAGAUUAAUUAUUUGCAAGUAAUCAAGGCAUGGGCGUGCACAAUGAAGGGAGGUCCUCGGGAGGCAGUCACAACCAGAGGAUUUAGAGAUAGUUAGAUAAUCAAGUUGUUAAUCAAUGUAAUUUAGCUAAUCUCCUUUAAUUUAAUUGCCCCUAAACAUUGUAAUAUUGGGCCAACCUUGCCCGACACUCAAGGUCCAAAGGACCCAACAAAUGAGUUAAUAUAAAAGGGUCACCUUCUCACUGUUUUCCUAAACCCUCAUUUUCUUUUCUCGCCUCCUGUAAUCCCUCUUCUCUGUUACUCUCCAGCACGCUCCGACGUGCUUUGCUCCUAAUCGGAUCAUUAAUCUUUUCAUGGUAUCAGAGCCAGCGUUCCUGUCUCGUGCAUAAGGAUGGAGAACGAAGGCAAAAACCUGGUGUCGACGGACUUGAAGAACAAUGAUCUUGUGUCUCCAAACCAAGAUCGGAAGAGCAUAUAUUACGUGCAUGCCUCCGAUGCUCUUGGUUCCUGCUUGGUGACGAAGAAACUCAUCAGGGAGGCUAACUUCUACCAGUGGCAGUGCGCAAUGAAAGUCACACUAGUGUCGUGGCAGAAGUUAGGUUUUGCUACUGGUGAUAUCGUCAAACUUGCGCUGGAAUCAAAAGACAGGGAAGCUUGGGAGACAAGCAAUGGGCUCGUGCUGUCGUGGUUGUUCAAUGCCGUCGAACCAGAGAUCGUGACCACCCUGUUGUACACGAACUUAGCGGCUACGGCUUGGAAGGACUUGGAAGACCGCUACAAGAUAGCAAAUAAACCCCAGAUCUUCCAGAUGAAGUACGAUAUCAGCACGAUGGCACAAGGUGAGGACAAUGUGUGUGUGUAUUUUCAGAAACUCAAGAGCUUGUGGGAUCAGCUCGAUUCUUGCAUCAAGAAACUCGUGUGCAUGUGUGGGAAGUGCACCUGUGACAUGCUCAAACAGUUCUUGGAGUUGGAGGCAGAGGAUCGCGUAUUGCAGUUUCUACUGGGCUUGAGAGAGGGCUUCAUGCCAAUAAGGGAACAAAUACUCUCCUCAAACGAGGGGUUGCCAAGCCUCAACAAGAUUUUUUUCUUUGGUCCAACAGGAUGAGAAGCAUCGCAAUUUCCACAAAAGAAAGAACUCUGAGGUAAAUACUUGUUAUGUGCAGCAAUCUGAGAGCUUUAAGAAGUCCCAUCAAGUGAAGUAUGAUAGACCCCCCAAUCGACCUUAUAGUGACUUCGGCAGGAAUGGGAAAAAAUUAAAUGUAGAUUUGUGGUGUGACCACUGUGAGUGGCAUGGUCACACCAAAGACAUCUGCUAUAAAUUGGUAGGCUACCUGAAGAACAAAGGGUAGGACAAAGGCAAAACUCUUGUUAACUCUGUGUAGGUCGCAAAUGGCUCUACUGUCUCAACUGCAAACAAUAAUGGUUUUACUGUGGAGCAAAUCAAACCAAUACAAGAAAUGAUCGGUAAACCUGCUUCAACUUCAGGUAAAAUAAAAUACCAUAUCAAUUUAUACUACAAUACUUUAAAUUUUGAUAACAUGAUAAAUUAUAAAAAUGAUUGGUUACUUGAUAGCGGAGCUUCAGCUCACAUGACAGGGAAUAGGAAAUUCUUCGUUUCCUUAAAGAAAACUGAUAAAGUAAUCAAGGCAAAAUUAUCAAAUGGGGUAUUAAAAAAUAUCGAUCAGAUUGGAGAUAUUUUAAUAAAUAAGUUGUUUUUACUUAAAGAUGUGUAUUUUGUGCAGGGUUUUACUGUCAAUUUGAUUUCAAUAGCUCAAUUGACUCAAUCUAAGAAUUAUCAAGUCAUUUUUGAUAACAAGAAGUGUUGUGUGAUCAAGGAAAGGAAUUCGAAAACAGUGAUUGGGCAGGGUGAAGAAAAGAAUGGUGUCUAUGUUUUUUGGCAGAAGAAUGUCAUGGUCAAUUCAGUAACUCUAGACUUAUGGCAUAGUCGAAUGGGGCAUGCACCAAAGGAGAGGCUCCUAAGUUUUUUGAGUAAUUUUAAUUACAAAACUAUUUUAAACAUUUCAGAUUGUGUGUUUUGUUGUAUUGCUAAACAAAAAAGGUUGUCAUUUAGUUUAAAUACUAAUCCAGCAAUGCAUGUAUUAGAUAGCAUACACAUGGAUGUUUGGGGGGCUUUCUCCACACCCACAAUCAAUGGUUAAAGAUAUUUCUUGACCAUAGUAGACGAGUUUUCAAAAAACACCCUUAUGACAAACAAGUCAUAAACACAAAGAAUUAUUACACAAUUCUUAAAUUUCAUAAAGAAUCAAUUUAAUAUUACACCAAAAGUAAUAAAAAUUGAUAAUGGAAAAAAAUUUGUAAAUGAAACAAUAAAAAAUAUUUUUUCUUCAAAAGGAAUAACCGAAUAAUACACCAGUUGACUUGCUCAUACACACCCCAACAAAAUGGGGUGGUAGAGCACAAACAUCAACACUUGCUACAAAUAGCAAAAGCAAUAAGAUUUCAAUCAAAGGUACCCAUAGAAUUUUGGGGACAUUGUAUAAUGCGUGCAGCAUAUAUAAUAAAUCGACUUCCAUUAAGAAGAAUAAAAAACAAGACACCAUAUGAAAUUUUACAUGGUAAAACACCAUCAUAUGAGAGCAUUAAAGUGUUUGGAUGUAAAACAUUCUAUUAUAAUAACACUCAAAUCAACAAAUUCAAUCAAAAAGCAAAAAUGGGAGUUAUAAUAUUAAAGGCUACAUUAUAUAUGACAUAGAGAUGAAUAAGUUUAUUGUAACAAGAAAUGUGAAAUUUAUAAAGAAUGAAUUUCUAUUCCUCGGUUUUAAGAAAGAUUCAAAAAUAAAUUCUUUCUUAACACCAUUUCAAAACAAUAAUGAAGAUGGUGGCCAAGAUUUCAGAAUUUUGGGGGAGAAUUUACAAAAUACCUCACAAAGUUCUGAAAAUCGAGAAAAUUCAGAAAUAAAUAAGUUGAGAAUCCAAUCAACACUGAAAAUAGUUUUGAGAUCUUGAAUUAAGAAGAGAAUACACAAGAGAAUGAAUUAAUCACCUUAGUGGAUAAUAAUAUACCAACAGAAAAUACACAAAGAAGGGAAAAUCCUAAAAGGAGAUGUGGAUCACAUCCCAAAUACAAGGAUUACAUAUGUUAUCCGUUAUCAAUGAGUGUAACACAAAAUAUUCUAUUCAAUCUAGGUUUGACUAUAAAAAAUUUACACCAGAUUUUUAACAAUGUGUCAAGAAAAUAGAGAAUGACUCUGAGCCCAAGAAUUACAAAGAGGCAUUGACACAUGACAAAUGGAAGGAUGCAACGAGUGAAGAGUUAAUUGCUCUAAGCAAAAACAAAACAUGGGAUUUGGUGCCUCUACCACAACAUAGAAAGCCCAUAUGAUCAAAAUGAGUAUAUAAAAUCAAAUAUAAGAGUAAUGGGACAAUAGAAAGAUACAAAACACGAUUAAUUAGUAGCAAGAGGUUUUUCACAGAUAGAAGGAAUUGACUAUAAUGAGACUUUUGCACCAGUUGCAAAAUUAGUAACAGUGAAGGCAAUGAUAGUAAUUGCAUCUGCCAAAAAUUGGCAACUACACCAGAUGGAUGUGCAUAAUGCAUUUCUUCAGGGGGAUUUGGAAGAAGAAAUUUACAUGAAACCACCUCAAGGGAUGGUCAAACCAAAUGAUAUAUGUGUAUGUAAAUUAAAGAAAUCCAUCUAUGGAUUAAAGCAGACAUCACGAAAUUGGUUUUCAAAGUUAAGAACCAGAUUGAUUGAAAUGGGAUUCAUUCAAUCAUUGGUUGAUUAUUCAUUGUUCACACAUACUAGUAAAAAAUGGGUUACCCAUUUGGUGAUGUAUGUGGAUGACAUCAUAAUCACGAGAAAUAAUAAUGAGGUCAUAACGACUCUUAAGAAAAAAAUUGCAGGAAGUAUUUCACACCAAGGAUCUGGGAAAACUUAGAUUUUCUUGGGAUUGGAGGUACUAUAUUUGCCGCAAGGAAUACAUUUAAGUCAAAAAAAAUAUGUGUUAGACACUCUAAAAGAAUAUGGAUUACUGGGAUGUAAACCAUCUCCAAUUCCAAUGGACAGAGUGUCACAUGUAGAUGGUAAGGAAUCAGAGAUAAUUAAUGAAAGAUCCAACCAACACCAUACAGAAGGCUGGUGGGAAAGUUGAUAUAUUUACUGAUCACCAGAGUGGAUAUUACACAUUCAGUUACAAGCUUGAGUCAACAUAUGCAAAAACCAAAACAGUCACGUAUGGAUGCAGCGCUAAAUGUGUUGAGAUACUUGAAAGGAACACCUGGUAAGGGAUUAAUGUACAAACACAAUAAUGAAAUCAAAAUUAUUGCCCAUUGUGAUGCAGAUUGGGCAGCUUGUCCAAAAACAAGGAGAUCAAUAAAAGGAUAUUGUGUUUCGCUUGGAACUUCAUUGAUAUCAUGGAAGUCCAAGAAACAACCAAUAGUGUCUAGAUCAUCUGCUAAAGCAGAGUACAGAUCUAUGACACAUGCGACAGCAGAGGUAACAUUCAUCCAAUAUCUAUUACAUGAAUUCAAGAUAAGCAUGACUGACAAAGCUAUGUUGUAUUGUGACAAUGUUUCAGCUAUACAUAUAGCUAAUAACCCCAUAUUCCAUGAAGGGACAAAAUACAUAGAAAUUGAUUGUCAUUUCACUAGGAGAGGAUUCAAUCCAGUACAAUGCAAUUGGCCUAUAUAGGAACAAGUAAUCAAACAGCAGAUCUAUUGACAAAACCACUAGGAGAAAAGGAAAUAAUUAAGUUUCUUAUCAAGUUGAAUGUCUUAGAUCCAUACUCUCCAACUUGAGGGAGAGUGUUAAAACUAAGAUUAAUUAUUUGCAGGUAAUCAAGGCAUGGGUGUGCACAAUGAAGGGAGGUCCUCAGGAGACAGUCACAACCCAGAGGAUUUAGAGCUAGUUAGAUAAUUAAAUUGUUAAUCAAUGUAAUUUAGCUAAUCUCCCUUAAUUUAAUUGCACCGACACUUAAGGACCAAAUGACCCAACAAAUGAGUUAAUAUAAAAGGGGCUUUUAAAUCCCUAGACGCCUUACCUUCUCACUAUUUUCUUAAACUCUCAUUUUCUUAUCUUGCCUCCUCGCAUCCCUCUUCUCUGUUACUCUCCAGCUGGGGCGUGCUUUGCUUCUAAUCGGAUUUAAUCUUUUCAAAUCUAGUUACAGAGUCC
This 6484-nucleotide long non-coding RNA is filed under the name Zostera marina. Its description in RNAcentral is "long non-coding RNA (ZMAR_LNC002196)". The record is from RNAcentral. Lineage: Eukaryota; Viridiplantae; Streptophyta; Magnoliopsida; Alismatales; Zosteraceae.